CUCUCUCCCGGUCUUGUCUUUUGAGACCUUUUUGUGCCUUGCAUCAUUUCUUGCUUUUAAUGAAGUGCUAGUUAACGUUAUAAAUUAGUUUUUUGUCCCCCAAUCCAAGUAAUAAAUAUGCUAAAUUUAAAUUACAUACAUAUGCAUGCAUCUUGGAAACAAGUGUCUGCUUUAGAUCUUUUUGCUCUAUUUUUGAAUAUUUUAUUUUUCGAUUCUCCAUGAAUACAUUUGUUCUUGAAUGAUUAAUUUUUUUUUCUGAUUUACCAAAAAAGAAAAAAAAGAAGCCAGCUUUCUAAUUGUAACACUUAGUUUUAUCCCUCACAUUUUUGUCUUGUACGCGCACGUAGUAUUUUGACAUCUAC
Molecule: long non-coding RNA, 362 nt
Filed under: Elaeis guineensis (African oil palm)
Lineage: Eukaryota; Viridiplantae; Streptophyta; Magnoliopsida; Arecales; Arecaceae
Description: long non-coding RNA (EGUI_LNC028757)
Source: RNAcentral